This 156-nucleotide non-coding RNA is filed under the name uncultured Selenomonas sp. Lineage: Bacteria; Bacillati; Bacillota; Negativicutes; Selenomonadales; Selenomonadaceae. The record is from RNAcentral.
GGAUUAGGUGUCGCAAGACUUAAUAGGGAAACCGGUAUAAGCCGGUGCGGUCCCGCCACUGUAACAGCGAGCAAGCCUGUAUAGAUAUGUCACUGGGGAAACCUGGGAAGGCGCAGGCAAGCGAUGAACUGGAGCCAGGAGAACUGCCUGAUUAGC